GAACCAGAAUCUGUGUCUGGAGAUCAUCUGUUCCUAACCCAGAAAGAGUAAGCAUCUACACAGCCAGGGGCUUAUAGGAUCAUAAAUUUAGACAUUGGAGGUCAUCUAAUACAAAGCCCUCAUUUUACAUAUAAAGAAACUGAGUCCAGAGAGUUUGUCUGUAGAGGAAGAGAGAGAAGGCAAGCUACCAUGCCAACGACCACCUCACAUCAGAUCCCAGUGGAGACAGCCCAGAACCCUGCACCCUAGAGCCCUGGGAAUAUCACCGCCUCCCAGACCAUGGCUUCUUCUGGCCUGAUUGCCCCAGCAAUCAUCAAGGGAGACAAAU
This 328-nucleotide long non-coding RNA is filed under the name Vombatus ursinus (common wombat). RNAcentral describes it as "lncRNA (ENSVURG00010023752.1)". Lineage: Eukaryota; Metazoa; Chordata; Mammalia; Diprotodontia; Vombatidae. The record is from RNAcentral.